AGUGAACGCUGGCGGUAGGCCUAACACAUGCAAGUCGAACGGCAGCACAGUAAGAGCUUGCUCUUACGGGUGGCGAGUGGCGGACGGGUGAGGAAUACAUCGGAAUCUACUUUUUCGUGGGGGAUAACGUAGGGAAACUUACGCUAAUACCGCAUACGACCUACGGGUGAAAGCAGGGGAUCUUCGGACCUUGCGCGACUGAAUGAGCCGAUGUCGGAUUAGCUAGUUGGCGGGGUAAAGGCCCACCAAGGCGACGAUCCGUAGCUGGUCUGAGAGGAUGAUCAGCCACACUGGAACUGAGACACGGUCCAGACUCCUACGGGAGGCAGCAGUGGGGAAUAUUGGACAAUGGGCGCAAGCCUGAUCCAGCCAUACCGCGUGGGUGAAGAAGGCCUUCGGGUUGUAAAGCCCUUUUGUUGGGAAAGAAAAGCAGCGGGUUAAUACCCCGCUGUUCUGACGGUACCCAAAGAGUAAGCACCGGCUAACUUCGUG
RNAcentral lists this ribosomal RNA (492 nucleotides) under uncultured bacterium. Its description in RNAcentral is "partial 16S ribosomal RNA". It matches the Rfam family "Bacterial small subunit ribosomal RNA", at positions 29 to 507 of the family's 1533-position model. The record is from RNAcentral.